RNAcentral lists this ribosomal RNA (468 nucleotides) under uncultured bacterium. RNAcentral's name for it is "partial 16S ribosomal RNA". It matches the Rfam family "Bacterial small subunit ribosomal RNA", at positions 28 to 507 of the family's 1533-position model. The record is from RNAcentral.
GACGAACGCUGGCGGCGUGCUUAACACAUGCAAGUCGAACGGAAAGGCCCUGCUUUUGUGGGGUGCUCAAGUGGCGAACGGGUGAGUAACACGUGAGUAACCUGCCCUUGACUUUGGGAUAACUUCAGGAAACUGGGGCUAAUACCGGAUAGGAGCUCCUGCUGCAUGGUGGGGGUUGGAAAGUUUCGGCGGUUGGGGAUGGACUCGCGGCUUAUCAGCUUGUUGGUGGGGUAGUGGCUUACCAAGGCUUUGACGGGUAGCCGGCCUGAGAGGGUGACCGGCCACAUUGGGACUGGGAUACGGCCCAGACUCCUACGGGAGGCAGCAGUGGGGAAUAGUGCACAAUGGGAGGAAGCCUGAUGCAGCAACGCCGCGUGCGGGAUGACGGCCUGCGGGUUGUAAACCGCUUUCGCCUGGGACGAAGCGUGAGUGACGGUAAUGGGUAAAGAAGCACCGGCUAACUACGUG